CUACUGUGGGCUUCUCUGGUGGCUCAGAUAGUCAAGAAUUUUCCUGUAAUGGAGGAGACGUACUAUGCGAGAUGAGAAGCAGUGAAUAGCUACAGUGGAGUAAAAACCGCAGUGAGUGCUGGUGCAUGGUUGAUUAUGCUGCCGUGGCAUGCUCUCUCUAGUGAACAACUAUUAAAGCCGAAUGAAAUAAAAUGUGACUCUUUGAAGGCAUCAGAACACAGCUGAGAGGGUCAGGAUUUGAUGGGUCACGAACCCCCCAGAGAUUGGCAGCACAAUGAGGUCUUUGAAUAUAUUCUGCCUGAGCCAGCUGCAACUCAGCCAUCAGUGUUCCUUAACACCCGUACAGCAGGAAAAAUAUCAUUUUGGUGCUCCUAGAUAAUCCCUGGAAAGAGAGAAAGACUUACACAAAAG
This is a long non-coding RNA of Bubalus bubalis (water buffalo), 411 nucleotides long. RefSeq lists it as uncharacterized. The transcript is spliced from 3 exons. Lineage: Eukaryota; Metazoa; Chordata; Mammalia; Artiodactyla; Bovidae. The record is from RefSeq and is a predicted model, not a curated record.